AAGUCGUAACAAGGUUUCCGUAGGUGAACCUGCGGAAGGAUCAUUAACACGUAUCCAAACGUUAAACCCCCCUGUGAACCUUCAGUCGUACUCGUACGUCCGUUAGAAAAAGCAGCAAUCCCUGGUAAAUCAUCGCCGAACAGUUUUCGAUUCAGGGACGUCUGCAAGGAGCGUGCAUGUUGUGCGUGUAAGUGGCCUGGCAUCCCCAAGCAGUUAGUGUCUGAAAGUGUCACUAACUAACAUGUGUAAGGAUGACGCAGUCACGAUCGUUGGAGGCCCACACGGCCGACGACCGGGUCACCGGGUGCAAGCCCCCUUAUCACACCCCUGCUCUAUCUAUGGUGAUCCUGCGGGAAGUCCUGCGGUCGAACGCCGAAACCGAACAACUGUUAACAAUGGAUAUCUUGGUUCUC
RNAcentral lists this unclassified non-coding RNA (413 nucleotides) under fungal sp. RNAcentral's name for it is "partial internal transcribed spacer region". The stretch from base 1 to 46 matches the Rfam family "Eukaryotic small subunit ribosomal RNA", at positions 1786 to 1831 of the family's 1831-position model. Lineage: Eukaryota; Fungi. The record is from RNAcentral.